ACGGCGAGUGAAGCGGCAACAGCUCAAAUUUGAAAUCUGGCCUCUUUGGGGUCCGAGUUGUAAUUUGUAGAGGAUGUUUCGGGUACCGCCUCGGUCUAAAUUUCUUGGAACAGAAUGUCAAAGAGGGUGAGAAUCCCGUCUUGGACCGGCGGUAGGGCCCAUGUGAAACUCCUUCGACGAGUCGAGUUGUUUGGGAAUGCAGCUCAAAAUGGGUGGUAAAUUUCAUCUAAAGCUAAAUAUUGGCCAGAGACCGAUAGCGCACAAGUAGAGUGAUCGAAAGAUGAAAAGCACUUUGAAAAGAGAGUUAAACAGUAUGUGAAAUUGUUGAAAGGGAAGCGCUUGCAACCAGACUUGAGCGCGGCGGUUCCCCCUUCCUUUUGGUUGGGUUACUCCGCCGUGUCCAGGCCAACAUCGGUUCUGGGGGUCGGUUAAAGGCUCGAGGAAUGUAUCUACUCCUUCGGGGGUAGACUUAUAGCCUCGGGUGUCAUGCGACCUCCCGGGACCGAGGAACGCGCUUCGGCUCGGAUGUUGGCGUAAUGGUUGUCAGCGACCCGUCUUGAAACACGGACCAAGGAGUCUAACAUCUAUGCGAGUGUUUGGGUGUCAAACCCGGAACGCGGAAUGAAAGUGAACGGAGGUAGGAAGCCGCAAGGCUGCACUAUCGACCGAUCCUGAUGUCUUCGGAUGGAUUUGAGUAAGA
Molecule: ribosomal RNA, 700 nt
Filed under: uncultured fungus
Lineage: Eukaryota; Fungi
Description: eukaryotic LSU rRNA
Rfam family: Eukaryotic large subunit ribosomal RNA
Source: RNAcentral